UCAGACAUGGUGUAAUUGGAACACAGUCUCUUCUUACAAUAUGUUAAUUCGGUGCUUAAGAGACAGUUCAGGGUUCAAAUCCCUGUGUCUGAA
Non-coding RNA from Mycena vulgaris, 93 nucleotides. Lineage: Eukaryota; Fungi; Basidiomycota; Agaricomycetes; Agaricales; Mycenaceae. The record is from the annotation of a GenBank genome assembly.